RNAcentral lists this ribosomal RNA (325 nucleotides) under Clostridioides difficile. Its description in RNAcentral is "bacterial LSU rRNA". It matches the Rfam family "Bacterial large subunit ribosomal RNA", at positions 2598 to 2925 of the family's 2925-position model. The record is from RNAcentral. Lineage: Bacteria; Bacillati; Bacillota; Clostridia; Peptostreptococcales; Peptostreptococcaceae.
ACGCGAGCUGGGUUCAGAACGUCGUGAGACAGUUCGGUCCCUAUCCGUCGCAGGCGUAGGAAAUUUGAGAAGACCUGUCCUUAGUACGAGAGGACCGGGAUGGACGUACCUCUGGUGUACCAGUUGUUCUGCCAAGGGCAUGGCUGGGUAGCUAUGUACGGAAUGGAUAAGCGCUGAAAGCAUCUAAGCGCGAAGCCAACUUCAAGAUAAGAUUUCCCACCGCAAGGGUAAGACCCCAGAAAGACUAUCUGGUUGAUAGGUCGAAGGUGUAAGUGCAGCAAUGUAUUUAGCUUAUCGAUACUAAUAGGUCGAGGACUUGACCAAU